GACGAACGCUGGCGGCGUGCCUAAUACAUGCAAGUUGAGCGAUGAAGAUUGGUGCUUGCACCAAUUUGAAGAGCAGCGGACGGGUGAGUAACGCGUGGGGAAUCUGCCUUUGAGCGGGGGACAACAUUUGGAAACGAAUGCUAAUACCGCAUAACAACUUUAAACAUAAGUUUUAAGUUUGAAAGAUGCAAUUGCAUCACUCAAAGAUGAUCCCGCGUUGUAUUAGCUAGUUGGUGAGGUAAAGGCUCACCAAGGCGAUGAUACAUAGCCGACCUGAGAGGGUGAUCAGCCACAGUGGGACUGAGACACGGCCCAAACUCCUACGGGAGGCAGCAGUAGGGAAUCUUCGGCAAUGGACGAAAGUCUGACCGAGCAACGCCGCGUGAGUGAAGAAGGUUUUCGGAUCGUAAAACUCUGUUGGUAGAGAAGAACGUUGGUGAGAGUGGAAAGCUCAUCAAGUGACGGUAACUACCCAGAAAGGGACGGCUAACUACGUG
Molecule: ribosomal RNA, 497 nt
Filed under: uncultured bacterium
Lineage: Bacteria
Description: partial 16S ribosomal RNA
Rfam family: Bacterial small subunit ribosomal RNA
Source: RNAcentral